GUUGUGGCUCAGUGGUGGAGUGCUUGUCUAGCACAUGCAAGGCCCUGGGUUCAAUCCUCAGCACGACA
Molecule: transfer RNA, 68 nt
Filed under: Marmota monax (woodchuck)
Lineage: Eukaryota; Metazoa; Chordata; Mammalia; Rodentia; Sciuridae
Description: tRNA.Ala
Source: RNAcentral